GGGGGACCUUCGGGCCUCUUGCCAUCGGAUGUGCCCAGAUGGGAUUAGCUAGUAGGUGGGGUAACGGCUCACCUAGGCGACGAUCCCUAGCUGGUCUGAGAGGAUGACCAGCCACACUGGAACUGAGACACGGUCCAGACUCCUACGGGAGGCAGCAGUGGGGAAUAUUGCACAAUGGGCGCAAGCCUGAUGCAGCCAUGCCGCGUGUAUGAAGAAGGCCUUCGGGAUGCAAUGUACUUUCAGCGGGGAAGAAGGGAGU
This 259-nucleotide ribosomal RNA is filed under the name Escherichia coli. RNAcentral's name for it is "partial 16S ribosomal RNA". It matches the Rfam family "Bacterial small subunit ribosomal RNA", at positions 194 to 455 of the family's 1533-position model. Lineage: Bacteria; Pseudomonadati; Pseudomonadota; Gammaproteobacteria; Enterobacterales; Enterobacteriaceae. The record is from RNAcentral.